UACGGGGGGUGCAAGCGUUAAUCGGAAUUACUGGGCGUAAAGGGUGCGUAGGUGGUUUGAUAAGUUAUCUGUAAAAGCCCUGGGCUCAACCUGGGAAGGCCAGAUAAAACUGUUUAACUAGAGUAUGGGAGAGGGUAGUGGAAUUUCCGGUGUAGCGGUGAAAUGCGUAGAGAUCGGAAGGAACACCAGUGGCGAAGGCGGCUACCUGGCCUGAUACUGACACUGAAGCACGAAAGCGUGGGGAGCAAACAGG
Molecule: ribosomal RNA, 253 nt
Filed under: uncultured bacterium
Lineage: Bacteria
Description: partial 16S ribosomal RNA
Rfam family: Bacterial small subunit ribosomal RNA
Source: RNAcentral